GACGAACGCUGGCGGCGUGCUUAACACAUGCAAGUCGAGCGGUAAGGCCCUUUCGGGGGUACACGAGCGGCGAACGGGUGAGUAACACGUGGGUGACCUGCCCUUAGCUCUGGGAUAAGCCUGGGAAACUGGGUCUAAUACCGGAUAUGACUCCAUGACGCAUGUUGUGGGGUGAAAGCCUUGUGCGGCUAGGGAUGGGCCCGCGGCCUAUCAGCUUGUUGGUGGGGUGAUGGCCACCAAGGCGACGACGGUAGCCGGCCUGAGAGGGCGACCGGCCACACUGGGACUGAGACACGGCCCAGACUCCUACGGGAGGCAGCAGUGGGGAAUCUUGCGCAAUGGGCGAAAGCCUGACGCAGCGACGCCGCGUGAGGGAUGACGGCCU
RNAcentral lists this ribosomal RNA (385 nucleotides) under uncultured bacterium. RNAcentral describes it as "bacterial SSU rRNA". It matches the Rfam family "Bacterial small subunit ribosomal RNA", at positions 28 to 417 of the family's 1533-position model. The record is from RNAcentral.